This 492-nucleotide ribosomal RNA is filed under the name uncultured bacterium. Its description in RNAcentral is "partial 16S ribosomal RNA". It matches the Rfam family "Bacterial small subunit ribosomal RNA", at positions 29 to 507 of the family's 1533-position model. The record is from RNAcentral.
AGUGAACGCUGGCGGUAGGCCUAACACAUGCAAGUCGAACGGCAGCACAGUAAGAGCUUGCUCUUACGGGUGGCGAGUGGCGGACGGGUGAGGCAUACAUCGGAAUCUACUUUUUUGUGGGGGAUAACGUAGGGAAACUUACGCUAAUACCGCAUACGACCUACGGGUGAAAGCAGGGGAUCUUCGGACCUUGCGCGUUUGAAUGAGCCGAUGUCGGAUUAGCUAGUUGGCGGGGUAAAGGCCCACCAAGGCGACGAUCCGUAGCUGGUCUGAGAGGAUGAUCAGCCACACUGGAACUGAGACACGGUCCAGACUCCUACGGGAGGCAGCAGUGGGGAAUAUUGGACAAUGGGCGAAAGCCUGAUCCAGCCAUACCGCGUGGGUGAAGAAGGCCUUCGGGUUGUAAAGCCCUUUUGUUGGGAAAGAAAAGCAGCAGGUGAAUACCCCGCUGUUCUGACGGUACCCAAAGAAUAAGCACCGGCUAACUUCGUG